GACUAACGCUGGCGGCGUGCCUAAUACAUGCAAGUCGAACGGGAUUCUUUGAUCAGCUUGCUGAGAGAAGGAUCUAGUGGCGGACGGGUGAGUAACGCGUGGGAAUCUGCCUCUUACUGGGGAUAACAGUGGGAAACUACUGCUAAUACCGCAUAAGAUCUUCGGAUGAAAGGUGCAAUUGCACCGGUAAGAGAUGAGCCCGCGUCCCAUUAGCUAGUUGGUGAAGUAAAGGCUCACCAAGGCGACGAUGGGUAGCCGGCCUGAGAGGGUGAACGGCCACACUGGGACUGAGACACGGCCCAGACUCCUACGGGAGGCAGCAGUAGGGAAUCUUCCGCAAUGGGCGCAAGCCUGACGGAGCGACGCCGCGUGAGUGAUGAAGGCCUUCGGGUCGUAAAGCUCUGUCCUCAAGGAAGAUAAUGACGGUACUUGAGGAGGAAGCCCCGGCUAACUAUGUG
RNAcentral lists this ribosomal RNA (458 nucleotides) under uncultured bacterium. RNAcentral describes it as "bacterial SSU rRNA". It matches the Rfam family "Bacterial small subunit ribosomal RNA", at positions 28 to 507 of the family's 1533-position model. The record is from RNAcentral.